Molecule: long non-coding RNA, 1324 nt
Filed under: Papio anubis (olive baboon)
Lineage: Eukaryota; Metazoa; Chordata; Mammalia; Primates; Cercopithecidae
Description: lncRNA (ENSPANG00000040396.1)
Source: RNAcentral
AUGGGUUCUUUUCUUUCCUUCCUUCCUUCCUUCCUUCCUUCCUUCCUUCCUUCCUUCCUUCCUUCCUUUCUUUCUUUCUCUUUCUUUCUUUUUGAGAUGGAGUCUCGCUUUGUCACCCAGGUUGGAAUGCAGUGGCAUGAUCUCGGCUCACUUCAAGCUCUGCCUCCCGGGUUCACACCAUUCUCCUGCCUCAGCCUCGCGAGUAGCUGGGACUACAGCUCUUUUGAAAUACACAGUAUAUUGCUGUUAACUGCAGCCACCCUGAAGGUGCCUUUGUAGCUUGAAGUUCAACCAGCUGUUUAUGGAACCAUCUCCUUCUCAGGCCUCUGAAGGGCUUGCUCUCCUCUUUGCAGCGAUGGGCAGACUGCAGCAGAAAGCUGCACGAAACAUGCCUGGCCUCUACGCAACUCUACCACAGCUUGCUGAAGCUUACCCACAGUCUACGUGAAGUAAAUGUUUUCAGAAUAUUCUGCGUGUUUAGCCUAAGGCAUUGUUCCCCUUUGCUGGUCUACAGGGACUAAAGAAACACCGUCAAUCAGAGAUGAUCUAGGGUGGAACUGUCAGCCAUUGGCAGUGGCUCCUCAGAGUUUUGCUUGUGACUCAUGACAACAGCUUGCCAGGGGGAAGGGGAAGGAAAUCAUCUGGAAAACACCCUUAAUAAAACUGAAAGAAACAUUCUGGGAAAGAGGGGAAAAAAAGUGAAAAUAAAGGCAAAACAAAGGCAAGGUCUCCUUAGGAUCCCAGUAAGUCCCGACUCAACAUUUUCAUUGACAGUGGAAAGAACCUAGAGCUUGAAGUUCUAAUUCCUGUCUCUGCCACUUAUUGGCUGAAUGCCACUGGAGAUGUCUCUUCCCAAUUCUCAUAAUUUAAAAGCCCCACAGAGGCACAGAAUAUCUCUGUCUUUUUCAGAGCUGUAUUCUCAGUGACACACAUGGAUUAACUGCUCAAUAAAUAUUUAUUUAAUGAACAAAUGAGUAACUUAGCAAACCUCCCUUUGCUUCAAUUCUCUUAUUUGUUAAAUAGCAUUAUGAAUACAUAGACCCUAGGGCCAUUCUAUAUAGUCAAUGGGCUAACGAACACUGCACAGAACACAGGAGGUCCUUAAUAAAUAGAGAUUGCAAUGAAUGCAAAUGAAUAUACCAGUGAAGAUAUUUUUGUUCAUAAUCAAAUGGCUUAUUCAUUUCAUGUACAGGCAUUACCUUAUGUUAAGUCUUUUUAGUAGCAUGUUUUGAUUAUCUUUUAAUAGUCCUAAAGGGAAAAGAAUUAACCUAAGGAAAAUGUAUCACUGUUUUAGCUUUAAGCUCAUGUCGUAACUAAUUGCUCC